UCUGUGAAGAAACAGGAGGAUAAGUUAAACCAAUGUUGAUCAAUGUUUUCCAAGUUUCCAUAUCGAACAGUUUAUUCUGUUAAUUAACCUGUCAACUAUGAUAAUUGGUUUUGAAUAAUACCACUGAGAUGGAAAUUGGUGAUUGAAAAAACAAAUGUUAUAAUUUACAAUAGUGAAGAUUGCAACAAGUUAACCAACUCGUUGAAACACAAACUGAAAAUCACCAUUUAAAUCUCAUGAAGCUGUUUUUAAUCAGAACGUGAACCUACGUCGCUGAACAUUGAAUCGACAGAAAGAAAAACAAAUAUUAAUAAUGAUAACAUCGUAUCGUAUCGUUUUUAAAUUAUAAACAGUGACGAUCGUGAAAAAUUGAGGUCAAUUCUCACUAUGUGAUCUUCCCUUUUCUUCCUUUUACCAAAUUAUUUCAUUCAUUUUUCUUUCUUUUUAAGGUCAAGUUGAAAGUGAAAAGCACGAAGACAAAAGCUGACUAAAUUGGAAAAUUUCUUACCAAACCGAAUGAGAUUAUUUUUACAUUGAAUUUUGCAGCAAAAUCAGUUAUUUUGUUGUUUCUUUUCAAUUCUGGUCACUUGGUUUUACUGUUAUUUUUACUUUAUAAAUCACAACUUUUAAUCUGCAGUCAAACAACCUAAAUAAAUCGUAAUAGAGCCUCAAAAAGGAGAUAGAAAGAACGAGAAUAAGCAGAUAGACAGUUAAUUUAUAAAUAUAUUUUACUCUGAUGCUAAUCAAUUUACUUGUUUUGACAAAUGUAAUAAGCUUGUAAGCCUGACUGGAAACAACAAACUGGUAAACUUGAUUUGCACUUGACCGUUAAAUUAUAUAAAAUAAUUGAAAUGAAAAGACAA
Molecule: non-coding RNA, 863 nt
Organism: Tetranychus urticae (two-spotted spider mite)
Lineage: Eukaryota; Metazoa; Arthropoda; Arachnida; Trombidiformes; Tetranychidae
Source: RefSeq, a predicted model, not a curated record